UUCCAGCUCCAAUAGCGUAUAUUAAAGUUGUUGCAGUUAAAAAGCUCGUAGUUGGAUUUCAGUCUUAAUUCGUCUGGCCCGCUCCCUUGAGGAGCCGAGUGCCGGUUGCGAAUUGGACUUCCUUCUAGCAUGAAUCUCCCACCGUUAUGCGGCCGGGAAGGACAUCUGGAUCAUUUACUUUGAAGAAAUUAGAGUGUUCAAAGCAAGCUUACGCUGUGAAUAUAUUAGCAUGGAAUAAUAACAUAGGACUCGGGUUCUAUUUUGUUGGUUUCUAGGACUCAAGUAAUGAUUGAUAGGGACAGUUGGGGGUGCUGCUAUUAUAUGGCCAGAGGUGAAAUCCACGGAUUCAUAUAAGAGCAACUUAUGCGAAAGCAUUCACCAAGGAUGUCUUCAUUA
This 396-nucleotide ribosomal RNA is filed under the name Chlorarachniophyceae sp. RNAcentral describes it as "partial small subunit ribosomal RNA". It matches the Rfam family "Eukaryotic small subunit ribosomal RNA", at positions 583 to 975 of the family's 1831-position model. Lineage: Eukaryota; Cercozoa; Chlorarachniophyceae. The record is from RNAcentral.